Long non-coding RNA from Hirundo rustica (Barn swallow), 545 nucleotides. RefSeq lists it as uncharacterized. The transcript has 3 exons. NCBI's taxonomy places the organism in Eukaryota, Metazoa, Chordata, Aves, Passeriformes, Hirundinidae. The record is from RefSeq and is a predicted model, not a curated record.
GUUCUCACACAGAUGGCAAAGUCUGUGGCCGGUAAAAAGGUCUUCCUCAUUAAUUACUUCACUCUUCAAGUCCUUCACUGCAGAUGUCUCUGUGCACAAACCAGGAGACAUUGACUUUCACUUCCCCUAGACAUGCUGACUCCUGCCUGCCAGAGUGAUUCAGCAGCUUGCCACUCACUUUUACAGAAGGAAAGUUUUCUCCUGGCUCCUUUCACUGGCUUGGUGUGACAUUGGCUGCAAUCGAGGGACGUAUUAGUGUGGCUGGUUGACUCUUCACACCGACUUGGUGCUGAGCAGCUGGGCAGCUCUGAGCCCUCUGUCUAGCUGGUAGCUCUGUCCCUUAUACAGGGAAGAAGAUCCCCGUGGAGAGCAUCAGGGUGCUCUGCCCCUCUGCCUUUUCCUUUUCCAGGAAGCACCUGCAUUGCUGCAUUUACCAAGAGCAAGAGUAUUUCUUCUGUUUCUGCAGAGAGAUUUAAAAGAAGAAACUUGGCCAGUUCAUAUGCUACUGAAGGUAUCAGCAGAAUUUUAAUAGGUGAGAUAAACAU